GCUUUUGCCUAUUAGCUAUUAAUAAAGCUGAUGCAAAGCGUCAGGCAGGAUGUAGAACUCUGACGAGACAGGUCCAAUGUGGCAAUGGUAGAGAGAUAAAAACAGAGACUGAGCAAUGCAGAUGGCAAUGAAGUAGGACACCAGGUAGAAAAUGAAAAUUGUCGAUGCAGAUGCUACCAAGUCACACAAAAAGAAUGGCGCCCAGAACAACAGUACCAAACUGAAGAAGUUGAGUAGGACGACAAUAGAGUAGGGACUGAACGGGUCCGGGCGGCACGGGAAUAGAAGUGAGAGCCGCUUAGCGACAGCUGCAUCAGUGAAAGCUGGUCCAGCACAACUUCAGGAAAUAUUGAAACUUAAGGCAUGAGAAAAAC
Drosophila innubila is the source of this 374-nucleotide long non-coding RNA. RefSeq lists it as uncharacterized. The record is from RefSeq and is a predicted model, not a curated record. NCBI's taxonomy places the organism in Eukaryota, Metazoa, Arthropoda, Insecta, Diptera, Drosophilidae. The transcript is spliced from 2 exons.